RNAcentral lists this ribosomal RNA (301 nucleotides) under uncultured bacterium. Its description in RNAcentral is "partial 16S ribosomal RNA". It matches the Rfam family "Bacterial small subunit ribosomal RNA", at positions 509 to 807 of the family's 1533-position model. The record is from RNAcentral.
CAGCAGCCACGGUAAUACGUAGGGUGCAAGCGUUAAUCGGAAUUACUGGGCGUAAAGCGUGCGCAGGCGGUUAUAUAAGUCAGAUGUGAAAUCCCCGGGCUCAACCUGGGAACUGCAUUUGAGACUGUAUGGCUAGAGUGUGUCAGAGGGGGGUAGAAUUCCACGUGUAGCAGUGAAAUGCGUAGAUAUGUGGAGGAAUACCGAUGGCGAAGGCAGCCCCCUGGGAUAACACUGACGCUCAUGCACGAAAGCGUGGGGAGCAAACAGGAUUAGAUACCCCAGUAGUCCCUGUCUCUUAUAC